RNAcentral lists this transfer RNA (64 nucleotides) under Monodelphis domestica (gray short-tailed opossum). It matches the Rfam family "tRNA", at positions 5 to 66 of the family's 71-position model. From Rfam's summary of the family: Transfer RNA (tRNA) molecules are approximately 80 nucleotides in length. Their secondary structure includes four short double-helical elements and three loops (D, anti-codon, and T loops). Further hydrogen bonds mediate the characteristic L-shaped molecular structure. tRNAs have two regions of fundamental functional importance: the anti-codon, which is responsible for specific mRNA codon recognition, and the 3' end, to which the tRNAs corresponding amino acid is attached (by aminoacyl-tRNA synthetases). tRNAs cope with the degeneracy of the genetic code in two manners: having more than one tRNA (with a specific anti-codon) for a particular amino acid; and 'wobble' base-pairing, i.e. permitting non-standard base-pairing at the 3rd anti-codon position. The record is from Rfam by way of RNAcentral. Lineage: Eukaryota; Metazoa; Chordata; Mammalia; Didelphimorphia; Didelphidae.
CUUUGGCGCAGUAGGCAGCGCGUCAGUCUCACAAGCUGACGGUCCCGAGUUCGAUCUUUGGAAG